AACGCACCUUGCGCUCCUUGGUAUUCCGAGGAGCAUGCCUGUUUGAGUGUCAUGGUAUUCUCAACUCUUCUGUGUGUUUUUUUUUCUUCAAUGAAAAAAGAAUAACAAUGCAGUCGAGCUUGGAUGUGGAGGUUUUUUUGCUGGUGUUUCAACUUUGUUUUGAACGCCGGCUCCUCUGAAAUGCAUUAGCUUGAAUAUUUUACUGAGCGUGUGAUCCGGCGUGAUAAUUGUCUACGUCGUUUCAGUCUCGGUGUUUCAAUAAAUGUUCUAGCUUCGAGCCGUCCCUUUGGACAAUGUGUAUCUGAACGUCUGACCUCACAUCAGGUAGGACUACCCGCUGAACUUAA
Molecule: unclassified non-coding RNA, 347 nt
Filed under: uncultured Steccherinum
Lineage: Eukaryota; Fungi; Basidiomycota; Agaricomycetes; Polyporales; Steccherinaceae
Description: sequence contains ITS2
Rfam family: 5.8S ribosomal RNA (bases 1-52)
Source: RNAcentral